RNAcentral lists this long non-coding RNA (220 nucleotides) under Lathyrus oleraceus (garden pea). Its description in RNAcentral is "Pisum sativum (pea) long non-coding RNA (PSAT_LNC037308)". Lineage: Eukaryota; Viridiplantae; Streptophyta; Magnoliopsida; Fabales; Fabaceae. The record is from RNAcentral.
UUAUAAUGAAUUUUUGAUCUCAUCACUUUUUUGUAUAUAUGCACAGCAAGGUUCAUUUAAGUUCUUAACUAUCGUAGUUGAACAUUGUGAUUCUUUGGAAAUAGAAGAAACACCUUUUUUUUAUAGUGGUAGUUUGGAUUGUGAGUUUGUGACAAUAAGAUCCAACACAUUUUUGUUCUUGCUAUUUAAAUUCUAUCAUAGUUCUUUAUUUUUCACCUUU